GAUGAACGCUGGCGGCGUGCCUAAUACAUGCAAGUCGAGCGAACGGUCCAGAAGCUUUCUUGUCUGAUUUUAUCGGCGGUCGGGUGCGUCCCACGUGGUUAACCUACCUCUACGACUGGGAUACCUUCGCGAAACCGUAUCUACUACCCGAUAAUUUUUUGCACCUCAUUGUUCCAACGUUAAAUUCGGUCUUUCUUUCACUUAUAGCUUGCUCCGCGCUGCAUUAGUUAGUUGGUAAGGUAACGGCUUACCAAGGCAAGGAUGCAUAGCCGACCUGAGAGGGAGAAGGGAUACACGGGAACUGAGACACGGUAGAGACUCCGAAGGGAGGAAGCAGUAGGGAAUCUUACGCAAUGGGGGAAAGGCUGACGGAGGAAAGCCGCGUGAGGGAUGAAGGUCUUAGGAUCGGAAAACUCUGUUAUUAGGGAAGAACAUAUGUGUAAGUAACUGGGAACAUAUUGACGGUACCGAAUCAGAAAGCCACGGCUAACUACGUG
Molecule: ribosomal RNA, 497 nt
Filed under: uncultured bacterium
Lineage: Bacteria
Description: partial 16S ribosomal RNA
Rfam family: Bacterial small subunit ribosomal RNA
Source: RNAcentral